UACGUAGGGUGCGAGCGUUGUCCGGAAUUACUGGGCGUAAAGGGCGCGCAGGCUGUUAUGCGAGUCUGCUGUGAAAUGUACCGGCUCAACCGGUGCCUUGCGGCGGAUACUGCAUAGCUGGAGUACUGGAGAGGGAAGUGGAAUUCCAGGUGUAGCGGUGGAAUGCGCAGAUAUCUGGAGGAACACCAGUGGCGAAGGCGGCCUCCUGGACCAUUCCUGACACUCAGACGCGAAAGCUAGGGUAGCAAACGGGA
RNAcentral lists this ribosomal RNA (254 nucleotides) under uncultured prokaryote. Its description in RNAcentral is "partial 16S ribosomal RNA". It matches the Rfam family "Bacterial small subunit ribosomal RNA", at positions 524 to 777 of the family's 1533-position model. The record is from RNAcentral.